AUGGAUCCUAUGUUCAAUCUUCUUGAUUGGUGGAGGGUGAAUGCACCUAGAUACCCCGUAUUGGCAAUGAUGGCAAAGAGGUUCUUGACUGUCCCGGCUACCUCCGUGUCUUCGGAAUCAACUUUUAGCACGGGUGGAAGAGUUUUAGAUGACUACAGGAGUUCUUUGAAACCAGAAAUGGUGGAAGCCUUGGUGUGCGGUGCUAGUUAUAUCAAAGGUUCUCACAAGGACUUCAAUGUGGUGGAGAGAGAUGAAGAUGAGGAGGACGAUGUUGAGAAUAUCAAGUUGCCCAAGAUUGUUGAUGUGGGGGAUAACAACAAUUGA
Molecule: ribosomal RNA, 324 nt
Filed under: Triticum aestivum (bread wheat)
Lineage: Eukaryota; Viridiplantae; Streptophyta; Magnoliopsida; Poales; Poaceae
Description: partial small subunit ribosomal RNA
Source: RNAcentral